UUUCCUGAUGACAACCUUUUUCGUAGCUUGAAGGCUUCAUUGCCGAUGUGAGCACAUGAUUUCUCAAUUGUAUUAGACUACAACGGUAUCUGACC
RNAcentral lists this small nucleolar RNA (95 nucleotides) under Babjeviella inositovora NRRL Y-12698. RNAcentral's name for it is "Small nucleolar RNA snR79". It matches the Rfam family "Small nucleolar RNA snR79". Lineage: Eukaryota; Fungi; Ascomycota; Pichiomycetes; Serinales. The record is from Rfam by way of RNAcentral.